RNAcentral lists this ribosomal RNA (1134 nucleotides) under uncultured organism. RNAcentral describes it as "SSU rRNA". It matches the Rfam family "Bacterial small subunit ribosomal RNA", at positions 46 to 1150 of the family's 1533-position model. The record is from RNAcentral.
GCUUAACACAUGCAAGUCGAACGGAGAACUUAUUUCUGUAAUUUCUUAGUGUCAAGCGGGUGAGUAACGCGUGGGCAACCUGCCCUCCAGUUGGGGACAACAUUCCGAAAGGGAUGCUAAUACCGAAUGUGCUCCCUCCUCCGCAUGGAGGACGGAGGAAAGAUGGUCUCUGCUUGCUAGCUAUCGCUGGAGGAUGGGCCCGCGUCUGAUUAGCUAUUUGGUGGGGUAACGGCUCACCAACGAUAUGAUCAGUAUCCGAUCUGAAAGGAUGACCGGCCGCAACGGAACUGAGACCCAGACUCCACUCCUACGGGAGGCAGAAGAGGGGAAUCUUCCGCACUGAGCGAAAACCUGACCGAGCAACGCCACGUAAGUGAGGACGGCCUUCUGGUUGUAUAACUCAGUGAUCCAUGGACGAAAAGGAAGAGUGCGAAUAACAAACUGCAUUGACAAGUACCGAUAAAAGCAAGCCACGGCUAACUACGUGCCAAAAGCCGAGGAAAUACGCAGGAGGCAAACGUUGUCCGGAAUUAUUGGGCGUAAAGCGCGCGUAAGCGGCUUCCCAAGACCCUCUUAAAAGUGCGGGGCUUAACCCCUUGAUGUGAAGGAAACUGGGAAGCUUGAGUAUCGGAGAGGAAAGUGGAAUUCCUAGUGUAGCGGAGAAAUGCCUACAAAUUACGAAUAACACCGGUGGCUACGGCGACUUUCUUGACGAUAACUGACGCCUAGGCGCGAAUCCGUGAGGAGCAAACAGGAUUAGAUUCCCUGUUAGUCCACGCCGUAAACGAAUGGAUAUUAGGUGUAGGAGGGUAUCGACCCCUCCUGUGCCCGAAUACAAGCAAUAAUUAUCCAGCCGGGGAAGUGGGAUGGCAAGAUUAAAAAUCAAAGGAAUUGCCGGGGGCCCGCACAAGCGGUGGAGUAUGUGGUUUAAUUAGACGCAACGCGAAGAACCUUACCAGGUCUUGACAUCGAUGGCAAUGUGCAGAAAUGUGGAGUUUUUUUUUGGAAGACGAGAAAACAGGUGGUGCACGGUUGUUGUCAGUUGGUGUGGUGAGAUGUUGGGUUAAGUCCCGCAACGAGCCCAACCCUUAUCAUUUGUUCCCAGCAUGUAAAGGUGGGGACUCAAAUGAGACC